CUAACUACAUCGAGAGGUCCAGACAGUUACUAUGUUCUCACUUCCGCGGAUACUUCAGUUCGAGUGGAUGUCGACAUGAAACUGCAUUGCCAUGUCCGCCAACAUAUUCUUUCAUAAAGUAUCAAUCAAAACUGAAAAUUAGUGUAUUGCAAUUGCCACUUCCGAUGUUCAGGUUCAAUUCAUCAUACAAUUAUGGAAUAUUAACACUGAAAUAAAAUAUGACUGUGCAACACUUCCUUUCCUCUCGGAUGUAAAUAUGAAGACCGAAAUCCGGAAUUUCCGAGUUAACUUGCACGUGCAUUCUCACAGAACCCGAACGACCACUUCUCCUCUCCUCGCCAUAAACCUUCACACAACACAUCAGAAAAUAAGAAUUAGAACAUCUGAAUAAAAAGUGCCAAGCAAAUAGGCAGAAGUACAGAAAAAUUUACCAUGGCGGAGCUCGUCAUCUGGUGGCCACGUCAUCUCCGACAUGCUAGAGUUGGCGACGACGCCAUGGACGACACCAUCUGCUAUUUUCCUCGUGCGGGAAGGGCACGGAGACGUUGACAACAGUGACCGCCCCGCCGGACCAUGAAGGGCAUGGUCUUCAGGGAGAAGAACCGGGACGUUCAGAGGAGGCGAGGCCGGGGUCUCCCGUUGGUGCACGAGUCACGGGAAUGGAAUGAUGACCGGCCGGAGAUGAGCGUAGGCCGGAAAGAACGCAAAAUCGGGGAGGAAGAAGGCCAAAUCAG
Molecule: long non-coding RNA, 734 nt
Filed under: Triticum aestivum (bread wheat)
Lineage: Eukaryota; Viridiplantae; Streptophyta; Magnoliopsida; Poales; Poaceae
Description: long non-coding RNA (TAES_LNC008203)
Source: RNAcentral